RNAcentral lists this unclassified non-coding RNA (88 nucleotides) under Pseudomonas sp. A214. The record is from RNAcentral. Lineage: Bacteria; Pseudomonadati; Pseudomonadota; Gammaproteobacteria; Pseudomonadales; Pseudomonadaceae.
UGUGGGAGCGAGCCUGCUCGCGAUAGCUUUGUGUCAGGCACAUCAAUGCUACUGAUCAAACGCUAUCGCGAGCAGGCUCGCUCCCACA